Molecule: long non-coding RNA, 1430 nt
Organism: Girardinichthys multiradiatus
Lineage: Eukaryota; Metazoa; Chordata; Actinopteri; Cyprinodontiformes; Goodeidae
Exons: 2
Source: RefSeq, a predicted model, not a curated record
GAAUUUGGACACUUUUGUCUCUAUUUUGUACAAACUGGAAACGGCCAAUCUUGUACCUCCACUCAACACCACACCUGGAGCUAAAUACAGAAGAAAACGUGAAGAGCAAAGUGGAAACGCGUGUUUCUUUUCUUUGUUUGCCUGCUGUGAGCUUGUCUUUGUAGAGGGACAGAAGAAGAAGAAAAUGGCGACUGAGAGAAUGAGUGAAAGACGAAGAGCAGCUCCCCUCUUGCAGCAUUCCGUGAAGAAAUGCAAUAAAUUCCUUGUUGUUUUAUGAAAAUUUACAACUUUGUGAUACAAGUUUAUGAGUGGCCGUGCAUGGGGAUUGGAUAGCGGGCUGGUCAUGUGGACGCGCUUAACGUGAACAUGAACUUUUUAUGAUUUCCCAAGUGGCUAUAAUGCUGCAGCGCUGCUCUCUGGCCCGAACAGCCGCCCUCUCCCCUGCUUCGGCUGAACCUCGCAAGCUGCCCCGCGAUCCUCAUCGCGCGGACAGAUGAAACUGAACGCUUUUAAUGAGGCGAAAUGCUUUAGAAAAACAACAGUGAUCGUGACUGCAGAGCCGAGAGGAACAGACAGUGACAACAAACCGCCUUCCUCCUCCUCCUCCUGCUGCUCUUCUUCCUCCAUGGCUCCGCGCUCCGGCGGAGGAGGUCUGAGGAGCUCAUAUCUGGAGACACCAUGCCGGAGAUUACUUUGUUUGUUUGCUUUGAAUUUCAAUUUGACAUUACUCAAAACGAUCAGCAGCAGAAUAGGGGCGAUGAUAGAAGAUGACAGAAGGCUUUCAAUGUCUCCACGUCCCCUCGGUGACAUCAGAGGAUCUGCAAAUCCUCCUCCUCCUCGCCCUCACCUUCCUUCCUCACAGACUGGGUAAGAUGCUGUCUCCUGUCCUUCCAGCGCGCCCUGACACCGCGGGGAGCUGCAGAAAAACAACCUUGCAGAGCAGCAUAAAUUCUCCCGUUAACUUUUAACCACCGGGAUGCUUGUGAAGCCGGAGGACUGCUCCAGUCGCUGAUGGUCCGGUGAAGUGAUCCGGAGCGUGAGUUCGGGGUUAUGCAGGAGAGGCGCUCAGCCGCUUUACGUUGCCUGGAAACAAUUAAUACAUUAAAACAAAAAACGCGCAAGUCAGGCAGUUUCUGUUAGUUUGUCAUUAACUCAUAUAGGAGAGGUCAGUCAGAGGGAGUUCUAAGACACACACACAGACACACACAGACACACACACACACACACACACACCUCUUCAUUAUAGUGUAUUGAUUCACACUUGACACCACUAUGUCACUUUGCUGAGUAUUGAAAACGGUGAAAAAUAAAAGCCAGAUUUGAUAUCCUUACUUUAUCCUCACAGUUCUGUUUAGGUUCCGUUUCUAGGAUUAAAUUCCUUACGCUUUGUAUUUCUAACCCUUAAGAUAAAUUAAACCAUAUUUAUUUAA